AGAUUUCCCAGUAGGUCCUUGUUACCUGUCUAUUUUAUACACAGUAGUCUGCAUAGGUCCAUCCCAACCCCCCAAUUUAUCCCUCCUGCCCCACGUCUCCCCUUUGGUAACCAUGAGUUUGAUUUCAAAAUCUUUGAGUCUGUUUCUGUUUUGUAAGUUCUUUUGCAUUACUUUUAUUAGAUUCCACAUAUUGGUGAUCUCACGUGAUAUUUGUCUUUCUCGGUCUGACUGACUUUACUUAGUAUGAUAAUUUCUAGGUCCAUCCGUGUUGCUGCAAAUGGCAUUAUUAUUUCUUUUUCAUGACUCAGUAGUAUUCCCUUGGACAUGUGUACCACAUCUUCUUUAUCCAUUCCCCUGUUGAUGGACAUUUAGGUUGCUUCCUUGUCUUGGCCAUUGUGAACACUGCUGUGAUGUAUGUGGUGGUGCAUGUAUCUUUUUGAACUAUGAUUUUCUCUGGAUAGCUGCCCAAGAGUGGGAUUGCUGGAUCAUAUGAUAGUUCUAUAUUUAGUUUAUUUAAGGAACCUCCAUUCUGUUCUCCAUAGUGAUUGGACCAACUUACAUCCUCACCAGCAGUGUGGGAGGGUUUCCUUUUCCCCACUCCCUCUCCAGCAUUUAUUGUUUAUAGAUUAUUUUGAGGAUGUCGUUUACGUCUAUUUUAAACUUGGCCUUCCUGGCUAAGAAUAAUGGAUUUAUUUGAUGAGAAAAAACAUUCAUAUUGGGUGUCACUAGAAGGGAAAAAGGACCAGAGAAGUUUUUUGGUUUUGUUUUAAUUUAUCAAGAGAUAAGCUAUAUUUUAAAAAAUAAAAUAAAGUAAAAUAAGCCCCGGCUCAACUGGUGAUAUUUGCCUUUUCUUUUGGCCUGGGACCUGGUCUAGUGCCAAGCUCCAGGCUGACCAUUACCUCCUCCUGAAAUGCCUGCUCCCUCACCCGGCAAAUGCUUUUCUUUCCUUUUGUGUCUAGAGGUGUCCUCUGCCUUUGGGGUAAGAAGAAGAGCGUUGAUUUCGUUCAGCAAAAAACACUUACUGAGCACCUUCAGUGUGUCCGUCACUUUGCUCGGCACUUAGGUUCCAGGUUCGAUCCCUCGCCUCGCUCAGUGGGUUAAGGAUCCAUCAUUGCCAUGAGCUGCAGUAUAGGUCACAGACACAGCUUGGAUCCCAAGUUGCUGUGGCUGUGGUGAAGGCUGGCAGUGGCAGCUCCGAUUUGACCCCCUAGCCUGGAAACUUCCAUAUUCUGUACUUACAGCCCUAAAAUGUAAAACAAAAACAAAAACAAAAAUUAAAACAAAACAAACAAAAAGAAUGCACCAAGAAGGAGUUCCCGUCAUGGUGGAGCAGAAACGAAUCCGACUAGGAACCAUGAGGAUGUGAGUUCGAUCCCUGGCCUUGCUCAGUGGGUUAAGGAUCUGGCGUUGCUGUGAGCCAUGGUGUAAGUUGCAGAUGGGGCUCAGAUCUGGCAUUGUUGUGGCUGUGGUGUAGACCGGCUGCUACGGCUCCGAUUAGACUCCUAGCCUGGGAACCUCCACAUGCCAAGGGUGCAGCCCUAAAAAGACAAAAGACCAAAAAAAAAAAAAAAAAAAAAAAAAAA
RNAcentral lists this long non-coding RNA (1583 nucleotides) under Sus scrofa (pig). RNAcentral describes it as "lncRNA (ENSSSCG00015012461.1)". Lineage: Eukaryota; Metazoa; Chordata; Mammalia; Artiodactyla; Suidae. The record is from RNAcentral.